AGAGCGAACGCUGGCGGCAGGCUUAACACAUGCAAGUCGAGCGGGCGUAGCAAUACGUCAGCGGCAGACGGGUGAGUAACGCGUGGGAACGUACCUUUUGGUUCGGAACAACCCAGGGAAACUUGGGCUAAAUACCGGAUAAGCCCUUACGGGGAAAGAUUUAUCGCCGAAAGAUCGGCCCGCGUCUGAUUAGCUAGUUGGUGAGGUAAUGGCUCACCAAGGCGACGAUCAGUAGCUGGUCUGAGAGGAUGAUCAGCCACAUUGGGACUGAGACACGGCCCAAACUCCUACGGGAGGCAGCAGUGGGGAAUAUUGGACAAUGGGCGCAAGCCUGAUCCAGCCAUGCCGCGUGAGUGAUGAAGGCCCUAGGGUUGUAAAGCUCUUUUGUGCGGGAAGAUAAUGGCGGUACCGCAAGAAUAAGCCCCGGCUAACGUUCGUGCCAGCAGCCGC
RNAcentral lists this ribosomal RNA (450 nucleotides) under uncultured bacterium. RNAcentral's name for it is "SSU rRNA". It matches the Rfam family "Bacterial small subunit ribosomal RNA", at positions 26 to 518 of the family's 1533-position model. The record is from RNAcentral.